UACGGAGGGGGCUAGCGUUGUUCGGAAUUACUGGGCGUAAAGCGCACGUAGGCGGCUUUGUAAGUUAGAGGUGAAAGCCCAGGGCUCAACCCUGGAAUUGCCUUUAAGACUGCAUCGCUAGAAUUGUGGAGAGGUAAGUGGAAUUCCGAGUGUAGAGGUGAAAUGCGCAGAUAUCGGGAGGAACACCAAUGGCGAAGGCAGCUCGCUGGGACGGUACUGACGCUGAGACGCGAAAGCGUGGGGAGCAAACAGG
This 253-nucleotide ribosomal RNA is filed under the name uncultured bacterium. Its description in RNAcentral is "partial 16S ribosomal RNA". It matches the Rfam family "Bacterial small subunit ribosomal RNA", at positions 524 to 776 of the family's 1533-position model. The record is from RNAcentral.